This 308-nucleotide small nuclear RNA is filed under the name Sorex araneus (European shrew). RNAcentral describes it as "7SK RNA (ENSSARG00000018038.1)". It matches the Rfam family "7SK RNA". Rfam says of the family: 7SK was discovered as an abundant small nuclear RNA in the mid-70s but a possible function has only recently been suggested. Two independent studies have found that 7SK RNA binds the CDK9/cyclin T complex (known as elongation factor P-TEFb). The record is from RNAcentral. Lineage: Eukaryota; Metazoa; Chordata; Mammalia; Eulipotyphla; Soricidae.
GGAUGUGAGGGCGUCUGGCUGCAACAUGUCACCUCAUUGAUGGCCAGGGUUGAUUUGGCUGAUCUGGCUGGUAGGCGGGUGUCCCCCUCCUCCCUCACCGCUCCAUGUGCAUCCCUCCUGAAGCUUCGUGCUCGGUAGAAGAGGACAGCCUUCCCCAAAUAGAGACUGACUGGUCUUCAGUGGAGGGUAUAGAAGUAGUUGCACUCCCCUGCUGGAACCUCCAAUCUAAAUUAUGGAGAUUAUAGACAUACCAAAAAUUUAUAUCUAGCCAAAUGGAAAGAAUGAUGAUUGAUCAGUAUCCUCACUGU